Molecule: ribosomal RNA, 797 nt
Filed under: uncultured prokaryote
Description: bacterial SSU rRNA
Rfam family: Bacterial small subunit ribosomal RNA
Source: RNAcentral
AGAGUUUGAUCCUGGCUCAGGAUGAACGCUAGCGGCAGGCUUAAUACAUGCAAGUCGUGGGGCAGCAUGAAUGUAGCAAUACAUUUGAUGGCGACCGGCAAACGGGUGCGGAACACGUACACAACCUUCCUAUAAGUGGGGAAUAGCCCAGAGAAAUUUGGAUUAAUACCCCGUAACAUAAUGAUGUGGCAUCACAUUAUUAUUAUAGCUUCGGCGCUUAUUGAUGGGUGUGCGGCUGAUUAGAUAGUUGGCGGGGUAACGGCCCACCAAGUCUACGAUCAGUAGCUGAUGUGAGAGCAUGAUCAGCCACACGGGCACUGAGACACGGGCCCGACUCCUACGGGAGGCAGCAGUAAGGAAUAUUGGUCAAUGGACGCAAGUCUGAACCAGCCAUGCCGCGUGAAGGAUUAAGGUCCUCUGGAUUGUAAACUUCUUUUAUCUGGGACGAAAAAAGGCGAUUCUUCGUCACUUGACGGUACCAGAUGAAUAAGCACCGGCUAACUCCGUGCCAGCAGCCGCGGUAAUACGGAGGGUGCAAGCGUUAUCCGGAUUCACUGGGUUUAAAGGGUGCGUAGGCGGGCAGGUAAGUCAGUGGUGAAAUCCUGGAGCUUAACUCCAGAACUGCCAUUGAUACUAUCUGUCUUGAAUAUUGUGGAGGUAAGCGGAAUAUGUCAUGUAGCGGUGAAAUGCUUAGAUAUGACAUAGAACACCUAUUGCGAAGGCAGCUUACUACGCAUAUAUUGACGCUGAGGCACGAAAGCGUGGGGAUCAAACAGGAUUAGAUACCCUGGUAGUCC